GACGAACGCUGGCGGCGUGCUUAACACAUGCAAGUCGAACGGAAAGGCCCUGCUUUUGUGGGGUGCUCGAGUGGCGAACGGGUGAGUAACACGUGAGUAACCUGCCCUUGACUUUGGGAUAACUUCAGGAAACUGGGGCUAAUACCGGAUAGGAGCUCCUGCUGCAUGGUGGGGGUUGGAAAGUUUCGGCGGUUGGGGAUGGACUCGCGGCUUAUCAGCUUGUUGGUGGGGUAGUGGCUUACCAAGGCUUUGACGGGUAGCCGGCCUGAGAGGGUGACCGGCGACAUUGGGACUGAGAGACGGCCCAGACUCCUACGGGAGGCAGGAGUGGGGAAUAUUGCACAAUGGGCGGAAGCCUGAUGCAGCAACGCCGCGUGCGGGAUGACGGCCUUCGGGUUGUAAACCGCUGUCGGCUGUGACGAAGCGUGAGUGACGGUAAUGGGUAAAGAAGCACCGGCUAACUACGUG
This 468-nucleotide ribosomal RNA is filed under the name uncultured bacterium. Its description in RNAcentral is "partial 16S ribosomal RNA". It matches the Rfam family "Bacterial small subunit ribosomal RNA", at positions 28 to 507 of the family's 1533-position model. The record is from RNAcentral.